This 34-nucleotide ribosomal RNA is filed under the name Heterorhabditis bacteriophora. RNAcentral describes it as "partial small subunit ribosomal RNA". Lineage: Eukaryota; Metazoa; Nematoda; Chromadorea; Rhabditida; Heterorhabditidae. The record is from RNAcentral.
GUUUCCGGUWAGUGAACCUGCAGAUGGAUCAUCG